This 497-nucleotide ribosomal RNA is filed under the name uncultured bacterium. RNAcentral describes it as "partial 16S ribosomal RNA". It matches the Rfam family "Bacterial small subunit ribosomal RNA", at positions 28 to 507 of the family's 1533-position model. The record is from RNAcentral.
GAUGAACGCUGGCGGCGCGCCUAAUACAUGCAAGUCGAGCGAACGGACGAGAAGCUUGCUUCUCUGAUGUUAGCGGCGGACGGGGGAGUAACACGUGGAGAACCUACCUAUAAGACUGGGAUAACUUCGGGAAACCGUAGCUAAUACCGGAUAAUAUUUUGAACCGCAUGGUUCAAAAGUGAAAGACGGUCUUGCUGUCACUUAGAGAUGGAUCCGCGCUGCAUUAGCUAGUUGGUAAGGUAACGGCUUACCAAGGCAACGAUGCAUAGCCGACCUGAGAGGGUGAUCGGCCACACUGGAACUGAGACACGGUCCAGACUCCUACGGGAGGCAGCAGUAGGGAAUCUUCCGCAAUGGGCGAAAGCCUGACGGAGCAACGCCGCGUGAGUGAUGAAGGUCUUCGGAUCGUAAAACUCUGUUAUUAGGGAAGAACAUAUGUGUAAGUAACUGUGCACAUCUUGACGGUACCUAAUCAGAAAGCCACGGCUAACUACGUG